CUCGGAACGCAAACUGCAACUCCCCGGAGCCUCCACGCUCCUCUUGAGGGCGGUGCGGUGCUCGCGGCUCAAACCGAGGGCGGAGCCGAGAACCGAAAGAGGAAAGCCAGAAUACGUAGCUUUUGUGAUUUUUGGACUACUGUUCCAAAAGGGGAGCAGGCUCGGAUUACCCUCGGUAGCACCGAUCACUCACAGAGUCACCAUUACGGGCCUGAGGAGUCCUGGCCCUGCGGAAUUAUGCUUCUCCAUUCCGCAGGCCAGCCGCGGUAAUCUGGCCCCAUUUCCCCCCGCGAGCCCUUCUGAAGAGCCGAGGCCCUUUCCCCGCCCCCUGCGCGCUUGCGCACUCGUGCCGAGAUAGACACUCUAGAAGCCCCACACGGCAGACUUGAGGGCUGGGCGGUCCUCAGAGUCAGUGGCGGCCGGAGUGCGCAGAUUGCUUUUCUGAAGGACUAGAUUCCGCAGACCCGACCCGGGGCCUGGCUGUAAGAGGGAAGUCGGAGGUGGAGCCCCAGAAUAAAGGUACCCUGCAGAGCGCUGGAACCAGAUUCAGGGCUGGCCUGUGAGGACGGAACGACCCCUUGGACCGAAGAAGACGCAGUGGGCCGUCCCAGGCGCCCUGCCAGUCUCCAGAGAAGGCCUUUGAAGUGAAACGAAUCGCUGCCGCGCCUCUAAAAGCCAGGUUCUGUGUGAGUUUGUGCUGAUUCUUUGUUUCCGUGAAAUGAUUUGAUUUUAUGGACACUGGGCUUUUUAAAUUUUCUUCCCUUGUUAUGUGCUGCUUAAGAAUGAUCUAUUCAUUGAUUUGUGCUUUAAGAUUUCCCUACCUAGUUAAUGGCAGAGGACCUAAUUAAUAGAUAACACUUCUUAGUGCCCGUCUAAUACAGUUCUACGUUUAGUUUAACCAUAUGCUAUAUAUUCUGAUUAUGGAAAUGCCCCUUUUGGAAGUGAAAGUUCAUGCUUUGUUUUCGACUGUGAUUUGUUAAGGAGUAGUUCAGGGUUUGUUUAGAUAUCUUCAAUGAUUGAUUCCAGAGUAGGGGUGGGAAUUUUUUUCCAAGAGACUCCGCCAUUGGAGAUUUUUGGUAACUCUUGCCAGAUGUGGUAGAGAUUUGGUAGCAUGAGUUUAUUUUGCUUAUUUUUGACAAAUACAAAAUGGUAUAUGUUUAACGCAUAAAUAUAUACAUGUUUCAGUAUAUGUAUACAUUGUGGAAUGGAAUGAUUACCACCGUCAGACUAACAUCCAUCACCUCCCAUAGUUACUUUUGUGUAAAUAACUAUGGUGAGUGGUGAGAGAAUACUUAAGAUUACUCUUGUGGCAAAUUUCAAACGUGUGUGGUGAGAAUACUUAAGAUCUACUCUUGUGGCAAAUUUCAAGUCUAUAAUACAUUAUCAUUAUUUAUAGUAACCAUGUUGUACAUUAGGUCUUCAGAGUUUACUUAUGACUGAGAGUUUGUAGCAUAAGUUUAUUUAGGGCAUGUUAUUGGAUAGACUGAGGUGUAUAAGGUAUUUAAGAAUUUUGAAGCUAGGGGUGCGCCUGGGUGGCUCAGUCGGUUAAGCAUGGGACUUCCGCUCAGGUCAUGAUCUCGCGGUCAGAGAGUUCCAGCCCAGUGGUGGGCUCUGUGCUGACACCUCAAGAGUCUAGAGCCUGCUUUGGAUUCUUUGUCUCUCUCUCUGCCCCUCCCCUGCUGGCUCUCUGCCUCUCUCAAAAUAAAUAAACAUUAAAAAUAUAUAAAAAAUAAAAGGAUUUUGAACCUAGGUUGAGAGAAUUUGAAUCUUGCCCACCACUUAAAUCUGAGGGAGUUUGAGCAAUAUUUCUGUGUCUCAGUUUCUUCAUCCAUUAAAUCAGAAUUAUAAUAGUAUUUAUGUCGCAGAGUGGUUUUGAAGAUUACCUGAAUUAGUACCUGUAAAGCUCUUAGAGGAGUACCCCGCACAUUAGAAGACUGCUUAACUAAUAUUACCUAUUGGUAUUAAAUGAUGAUUGUUAGUCAUUCUCUAUCAGUUUUCUGUAUUCCCAAGAGUAAUGAAAAUGUGAGCUUAAUUAGGAUGGAUGCUUGCUAGCAGGAAAAUGAAUCACAUACUCAAAUGGACCAAAAGAGGAGUUCUUAACAUGAAGUCUUUGGACUGUGUUUAUGGGUUUUCAGGCCAACAAAAAUCUAAGAUUAUGUACAGGAUUGUUGUAUAUACUUGUUGGUAAUUUGGUGGGGAGGAAGUCUGUCAUUUCAUGAUACUAAUCAAAGUUGUAUAAGACCCAACAAGGUUGAUUCUUACUGGUGUAGAAUCGAAGUUUGGGAUAACUGGGAAUGACUUUUGUUAUAAUCUUUUAUAAAAGUAGCAUCCAGCAAUAUGGAAAUGGUUAAGUAACUCACACUCCAUCCAUGUGAUGCGAUGUUAUACGAUACUAAAAAUUCUAUUUAUUAGUAAUUUAGUCAUUAGAAAAAUAUAUAUGUAUAUAAUGUAACAUUAAGAAGUAUUUAUUCUGAAUAAAAAUCUUUAAGAAAUUAAGUUAUAGAUGUAUCUUGAACACUAAGAUAACAAUUUAUAAGAUACAUUACAAGGGUUUAAUAACUAGUGUAUUAACUGGAGCCCAGUAGAGUUAAGCUCAAAUAUUUGAGCAGAUGCUAUGAAAUAAGCAUUUUUUCCCCUGUCUUUAGUUUGGAAAAGCAUUGUGAUCCUUCACAGAAGGUUCUCAGGUGUUGACGAAAUACAAUAUUCAAGAAUUGGUAGCGUGGAGGCUCAUGGUUCAUGGGUUCUAGCCCCUCAUUGGGCUCUGGACUGACAGUGUAGAGCCUGCUUGGGAUUCUCUCUCUCUCUCAUUUCCCUGUUUUUACCACUUACAUAGGCCAAUUUAAUCACAAAAUUUUAAAAACAUUUUAUUUUUCUAAGUAAUCUCUAUAUCUAGUGUAGGGUUGGAACCCACAGCCCCGAGAUCAAGAGUCACUCACUCUGUGGACUGAGCCAGCCAGACACCCCUAAUCACAGUUUUCUUAAUGACUAUAAGGUAUCCCAUUCUCCCAAAUCAUUAAAAAAUUAUUUUUAGUGAGAAUAGCUUUUUAUAAAUUUUUAUUUAUUUGUUUUUAGCUUUGAAAAAUACUUUGUGUGUGUGUGAGAGAGAGAGAAAGAGAGAGAGAGAGAGCGCAUGAGUAGGGGAGGGGCAGAGAGAGGGAGGAGGAGAAAGGAGGCUUUGUGCUGUCAAUGCAGAACCCCAAACAAACCAUGAGAUCAUGACCUGAGCCAAAAUCAAGAGUCAGACACUUAACCCACUGAGCCACCCAGGCACUCCAAUGAGAAUAGCUUUUUAAAACGAUAUUUCUGAUGGAAUUAAUGCAGGCUUGUGAAAUAAAAUUAUCCAUGGUCCCAACAUCCAGAAAUAAUCACUAUUAAUAUUUAGAGCAUAUUUUCCCAAAAUAUUUCUACAAGCAUGUAUUUUUCUGUACGAUUUUAUUUCUGAAUAAUGGUAUAACCCUAAUUAAAAAUUUAAAAGAAAUCAAGACCUCUAGUUCUUAGUUUAAUUUUUUAAAGUUUAUUUAUUUAUUUUGAGAGAGACAGACACAGUGCUAGUGAGGGAGGGGCAGAGAGAGAGGGAGAGGGAGAAUCCCAAGCAGGCUCCCUGCUGUCAGCACAGAGCCCUGUUGUGGAACUUGGUCUCACAAACCGUGAGAUCAUGACCUGAACCAAAACUAAGAGUUGGGCCCUUAACCGACUGAGCCACCCAGGAGUCCCCCUCUAGUUCUUAGUUUAAAAGAGACAUUCAGUGUCCUCAUGGAUUUUUGAAUCAUGGAUCUAUGGGGAAAGGUAAAAUCCCAGUAGUCCCCUUCUUGUUUGAGAAAUCUUCCAAGCAAUUACAAUUCUUAAGAUAGAAAUGGAAAUUAAAUUGAGAGACUUAAUUAAAAUUAAUUUUUAAAUGUCAGAAUUGAAAUAUAGAGAUUUUUUCCCCCCAUCUAUUGAUAUCUGUUUCAUAUUGAUGAUUUAAAAUAAUCAUAUUGGGGCGCUUGGGUUACUCAGUUGGUUAAGCGUCCGACUUUGGCUCAAGUCAUGAUCUCAUGGUUCGCGAGUUUGAACCAUGUCAGGCCCUGUGCUAACAGCUCAGAGCCUGGAGCCUGCUUUGAAUUCUAUGUCUCCCUCUCUCUCUGCCCCUCCCCACCUGGUGCUCUGUCUCUCAAAAAUAAAUAAAUGUUAAAAAAUAAUAAAAAUUAAAUAAAUAAAUAAAAUAACUAAUCAUAUUAUAUAUUGUUUUGUAAACUGAUUUUUUUUCUUUCAGUGUAUCUUGAAAAUACUUUCUAUUCCUUAACUGUUUUCUAAAACUUAGCAUUUAAUGAUUACUUUAGUAUUCCAUUUUAUGAAUGUUUUAUAAAUUAUUUAAGAAAUCAGUUAUUGGGUAGUAAUGUUCAAACUGCCCGAGCAAUUCUUUCAACAGGCUUUCUAUGUGCUAUUACUUACCCAACUUUUCACUUCAUGGUCAUUUCAGAGACAGGAACACUUUUUACCAAGUGGGAUAUAGGUGACACUCUGUGAAUUGUUUGGCUGAAUUUCUGAAGGAUUUAGUAUGAAGUAGACCAUAAAAUUUAAUUUUACCUGCCAUUUCUUUCUUGGCCUUUGUCCCCCCCAUCACUAUGGAGAGGAAGGUGAUGUUAGGGCUCCAGGAAACUGAGUCUAUAGGUUUCUGGAGAUUGGGUUAUUGAUAAAAUUGCCCUUUUUUUUUUUUUUUUUGUCAUUUACUAAGACAUACGUAAACUGAUGGAGACUCAUGUCCUGCAUGACUGUGAUCUCUAUCAGUUAACCAUUUGUUUUCUUCCCUUUCCUUUGUUCUUGGGCAGC
Molecule: long non-coding RNA, 4809 nt
Organism: Panthera uncia (snow leopard)
Lineage: Eukaryota; Metazoa; Chordata; Mammalia; Carnivora; Felidae
Exons: 3
Source: RefSeq, a predicted model, not a curated record